GCUUGCAAUCCUGAGUAGAGUGGCGCACGGGUGAGUAACACGUAGAUAAUCUGCCUUCAAGCCCGGGAUAACUAUUCGAAAGGGUAGCUAAUACCGGAUAAAGUCGAUCCACAUAAGUGGAUUGAUGAAAGAUUGCCUCUUCUUGAAAGCAAUUGUUUGGGGAUGAGUCUGCGUACCAUUAGCUUGUUGGUGGGGUAAAGGCCUACCAAGGCUGCGAUGGUUAGCUGGUCUGAGAGGAUGAUCAGUCACACUGGAACUGGAACACGGUCCAGACUCCUACGGGAGGCAGCAGUGAGGAAUUUUGCGCAAUGGGGGCAACCCUGACGCAGCAACGCCGCGUGAGUGAAGAAGGCCUUUGGGUCGUAAAGCUCUGUCAACAGGGAAGAAAUUAUAAUUGUUUAAUAGAUGAUUGUAUUGACGGUACCUGUGGAGGAAGCGCCGGCUAACUCCGUGCCAGCAGCCGCGGUAACACGGGGGGCGCAAGCGUUAUUCGGAAUUAUUGGGCGUAAAGGGCGCGCAGGCGGUCUUGUCCGUCAGGUGUGAAAGCUCGGGGCUCAACCCCGGAAGUGCACUUGAAACAGCAAGACUUGAAUACGGGAGAGGAAAGCGGAAUUCCUGGUGUAGAGGUGAAAUUCGUAGAUAUCAGGAGGAACACCGAUGGCGAAGGCAGCUUUCUGGACCGAUAUUGACGCUGAGGCGCGAAGGCGUGGGUAGCGAACGGGAUAAAUACCCCGGUAGUCCCGCAGUAAACGUUGUACACUCGGUGUGGCGGGUAUUAAA
RNAcentral lists this ribosomal RNA (780 nucleotides) under uncultured bacterium. Its description in RNAcentral is "bacterial SSU rRNA". It matches the Rfam family "Bacterial small subunit ribosomal RNA", at positions 76 to 836 of the family's 1533-position model. The record is from RNAcentral.